Molecule: ribosomal RNA, 254 nt
Filed under: uncultured bacterium
Lineage: Bacteria
Description: partial 16S ribosomal RNA
Rfam family: Bacterial small subunit ribosomal RNA
Source: RNAcentral
UACGUAGGGACCAAGCGUUGUUCGGAUUUACUGGGCGUAAAGGGCGCGUAGGCGGCAAUUCAAGUCAGCUGUGAAAUCUCCGGGCUUAACUCGGAACGGUCAGCUGAUACUGCUUUGCUAGAGUGCAGAAGGGGCAAUCGGAAUUCUUGGUGUAGCGGUGAAAUGCGUAGAUAUCAAGAGGAACACCUGAGGUGGAGACGGGUUGCUGGGCUGACACUGACGCUGAGUGCGCGAAAGCUAGGGUAGCAAACGGG